GACGAACGCUGGCGGCGUGCUUAACACAUGCAAGUCGAACGGAAAGGCCUGCUUUCCCUUGUGGAUUGCGGGUACUCGAGUGGCGAACGGGUGAGUAACACGUGAGUGAUCUGCCCCCAACUUGGGUAUAAGCCUGGGAAACUGGGUCUAAUUCCCGAUAGGACUGCAGGGUGGUGCCUGUGGUGGAAAACGAUUUUCUAGUGGUUGGGGAUGAGCUCGCGGCCUAUCAGCUUGUUGGUGGGGUAAUGGCCUACCAAGGCGGCGACGGGUAGCCGGCCUGGGAGGGUGGACGGCCACAGUGGGACGGAGAUACGGCCCAGACGCCUACGGGAGGCAGCAGUGGGGAAUAUUGCACAAUGGGCGGAAGCCUGAUGCAGCGACGCCGCGUGGGGGAUGACGGCCUUCGGGUUGUAAACUCCUUUCGACCGCGAGGAAGCCACCUGGUUGGAAGGGUGGUGACGGUAGUGGUAGAAGAAGCACCGGCUAACUACGUG
Molecule: ribosomal RNA, 494 nt
Filed under: uncultured bacterium
Lineage: Bacteria
Description: partial 16S ribosomal RNA
Rfam family: Bacterial small subunit ribosomal RNA
Source: RNAcentral